RNAcentral lists this ribosomal RNA (253 nucleotides) under uncultured bacterium. RNAcentral's name for it is "partial 16S ribosomal RNA". It matches the Rfam family "Bacterial small subunit ribosomal RNA", at positions 524 to 776 of the family's 1533-position model. The record is from RNAcentral.
UACGAAAGGGGCUAGCGUUGGUCGGAAUUACUAGGCGUAAAGCGCACGGAGGCGGCUAUGUAAGAUGGGGGUGAAAUCCCGGGGCUCAACUCCGGAACUGCCUUCAUGACUGCAUGGCUCGAGGACGCGAGAGGUUGGCGGAAUUCCGAGUGUAGAGGUGAAAUUCGUAGAUAUUCGGAAGAACACCAGUGGCGAAGGUGGCCAACUGGCGCGUUUUUGACGCUGAGCUGCGAAAGCGUGGGGAGCAAACAGG